This 253-nucleotide ribosomal RNA is filed under the name uncultured bacterium. RNAcentral describes it as "partial 16S ribosomal RNA". It matches the Rfam family "Bacterial small subunit ribosomal RNA", at positions 524 to 776 of the family's 1533-position model. The record is from RNAcentral.
UACGUAGGGUGCGAGCGUUAAUCGGAAUUACUGGGCGUAAAGGGCUCGUAGGCGGUCUGUUGCGUCGGGAGUGAAAACUCAGGGCUUAACCCUGAGCCUGCUUCCGAUACGGGCAGACUAGAGGUAUGCAGGGGAGAACGGAAUUCCUGGUGUAGCGGUGAAAUGCGCAGAUAUCAGGAGGAACACCGGUGGCGAAGGCGGUUCUCUGGGCAUUACCUGACGCUGAGGAGCGAAAGUGUGGGGAGCGAACAGG